AGCGAGCGUUCUCAGAAACACACAGGCAUCUGCUUCCCCCUCACAAAGGCACAAGACACCCUGCUCAUAUUAACUUGCUCCUAAACACACACCCACUCUCCCUCCGGCUUCUGCUGGCCUUGUGCGUGCAUAUCACCCCAUUUUACGGACAGAGUCCACAGAGACCGCCCCUGCCCUACCCCCUACCUCUCCUUUCUUUGCUUCUCUCUCUUUCUCCCUCCCUCAUCCCUGGGCACCCGUUUGCCAGGGUUAUUUAUAGAAGCAAGCGAUAAAUUCAGUGUGUUUCUCGGCGCGCAAAGCUAUAAAUAAUGGCACAGAUCAUUAAACCCCGAGAGCAGGCCCAGCCGCCCCGCAAACAAGAUGAAGUGCAAACCACCACGUGAAAGAGAGAGCGGGAGGUACAAGGGAGAGACCCAGGCCCAGGGCCAUUAGGCCCCAGCCUGCACCCCUCAACCCAGGCCCAGUGAACUUGGGCCUCCAAGGCAUUCCCAGCAGAAUCUGGUGUGUCUACAUACAACCUGGAGCCCCUUCACUUGGGAAUGGGCUGGAAGGUGACAACCCAAAAGAACUCACACGAAGCUGCAGCACAGUGUGACAGGUGACAGUAUCUUCAGGACCUCCAUCUCCCCACUUUCUACUCCACAGGAUCAGAGAUGACCUACCAUCCAAGACCCACCCAUGAUAGAACCAGAACAAAUAAAGAAGUGGGGUGAGAAAUGUUCCUGGGAAGAAAAGCCAAGAAAAGUCAAGAAUGUGCAGCUACUAAAGAGGAACCUCAGACUCCUAACAUAAAAAGAAAAGGAACCAAAUAGCAGCAAAAAAAAAAAAAAAACCCUCCCUAGCCAGAAAUGGUGGUGGUAUUCACCAGAAGUCUUAGCAUUUUGGAGAUGGAACCUGGAGGAUCAGGAGUUAAACGUCAUUCCUGGAUACAUGAGUUCCAGGAUAGCCUAGGCUACAUGAGAUUCUGUUUUGAAUAAUAAAUAAGUGUCCCCCUUACCUGUUCCCAGGACCAAUUCCUUGCCAAGCAUCAAAAGCAUGAUCAGACAAGGCCAGCGAGAUGGCUCAGUGGGUAAAGGUGCUAAGAUCCCUGGUACAUAUACAUAUGUGU
This 1108-nucleotide long non-coding RNA is filed under the name Cricetulus griseus (Chinese hamster). Its description in RNAcentral is "lncRNA (ENSCGRG00015043394.1)". Lineage: Eukaryota; Metazoa; Chordata; Mammalia; Rodentia; Cricetidae. The record is from RNAcentral.